UUUAGGGGUAAACGGGAGAAAUCCGAAUAUUUGAAGGAAGUGAUUCACGUAAAAUCUACAUUGUACUACAUUUGUUGAUCGAUGAUUAUAAAAUUCCUUACAUAUAUAACUUGUUUAUAUUGUAAGUGUUUCAUUUUGUAUCACGAUUCAUCAAUGUAUAUUGUUUACAAUGUGGUUUACCGCAUUUCUACCUUCCUUUUCUAUAUAAAAAAAAGCGUCGCGACCCAUUAAAUUGCAAUCUAAGAUGGCUCAAUUAGUCUUAUAGAUACAUUUAUAUUUUUUUUUUAUAAAAGUAUAUUUUGUGUUUUAUAUAGUUUUGAGCAUAAUUACAUCUGAUUGAUAAUUUGAUGGUAUCAAAUAAUAAAAGAGUUAACCCGCAUAAUUUAUAAUGCGUUUAAAUAUAAUUGGUAUAUAUCAAAUAUAUAUUAAAAUUCAAUGUGAUAUUUUAGUUAACGGUCUUUAAUGAUCCGUCUAAAAGUAAGCAUUGAUAGCAAUUAUAUUCUUAAACUAGUUGGUUAGAAUACUCUUGUCUGCGGCGUAUAUGUU
RNAcentral lists this ribosomal RNA (546 nucleotides) under Diplatys flavicollis. Its description in RNAcentral is "eukaryotic LSU rRNA". The record is from RNAcentral. Lineage: Eukaryota; Metazoa; Arthropoda; Insecta; Dermaptera; Diplatyidae.